Molecule: ribosomal RNA, 441 nt
Filed under: uncultured bacterium
Lineage: Bacteria
Description: partial 16S ribosomal RNA
Rfam family: Bacterial small subunit ribosomal RNA
Source: RNAcentral
CCUACGGGGGGCAGCAGUGAGGAAUAUUGCACAAUGGGGGAAACCCUGAUGCAGCAACGCCGCGUGAAGGAAGAAGGAUUUCGGAUUGUAAACUUCUGUUAUUAGUGAAGAAAAAUGACGGAACCUAAGGAGCAAGCCACGGCUAACUACGUGCCAGAAGCCGCGGUAAAAGUUAGGGGGCAAGCGUUAUCCGGAUUUACUGGGUGUAAAGGGAGCGAAGGCGGGAAGCCAAGUAAGCUGUGAAAGCUGGGGGCUCAACGUGGAGACUGCAGUUGAAACUGGUUUUCUAGAGUGCAGGAGAGGUUGGUGGAAUUCCGAGUGUAGCGGUGAAAUGCGUAGAUAUUCGGAGGAACACCGGUGGCGAAGGCGGCUUACUGGACUUUAACUGACGCUGAGGCUCGAAAGUGUGGGGAGCAAACAGGAUUAGAUACCCGAGUAGUC